AAUGCAGUUUGAAAAUCAAACCACAGCUGUUCCUGUCUACAAGCAGUGAGAAAAAAUUUUCGUCACUUUCCAGUACUACUUGUAUUGUUGAGUCACUUCCACCUUCUAAAGAAAUUGCAGUGGCGUAACGAUGCAGACUGAUCAUCCUGUUCCUGCUGUGCCACAGUUCUCAGCUGUGAAGUCCGUUGUUGGAGCUGACCUUUAUUUCAACAGCAAAGAUAAUAACAGCUUGUAGUUGGAACAUGCUGCCUGCUGAUGCCCUCCAGGAGAAGGUGGAGGAGGUUGCUGGUGUGGCACAACCUAUGAGGUGUGGACCAUGUGUGGGGAGCUGCUCUUUGUUCUGGUGAGGCACUUCAGUCAUCUCUUCAGGCUGCUCUUCAGCUCUUGUGCAUGGAGUUGCUGAGCGGUCGGUGUUGGCUGGGUGUUUUCCUCUGAUUGAUGCCAUCUGUACCUAUGGAUGUGUGCUUCA
Long non-coding RNA from Centrocercus urophasianus (Greater sage-grouse), 469 nucleotides. RefSeq lists it as uncharacterized. The transcript is spliced from 4 exons. NCBI's taxonomy places the organism in Eukaryota, Metazoa, Chordata, Aves, Galliformes, Phasianidae. The record is from RefSeq and is a predicted model, not a curated record.